GUAGGCAACAGCUCAGUGGUAGAGUGCAUGCUUAGCAUGCACGAGGUCCUGGGUUCGAUCCCCAGUACCUCUA
This 73-nucleotide transfer RNA is filed under the name Camelus bactrianus (Bactrian camel). It matches the Rfam family "tRNA". Rfam says of the family: Transfer RNA (tRNA) molecules are approximately 80 nucleotides in length. Their secondary structure includes four short double-helical elements and three loops (D, anti-codon, and T loops). RNAcentral also lists the same sequence under 2 other names. The record is from Rfam by way of RNAcentral. Lineage: Eukaryota; Metazoa; Chordata; Mammalia; Artiodactyla; Camelidae.